GGUGGAGGCGGAAGUGACUGAUCAAUUCAGGGGCGUGGGGUUCGUUUAGGUUUUGCCCUGUGUAUGACCUCGUUUGGAGCCAUGAAACCAGCCUCAAGCUUUAUUCUAGGAAGGUGGCUUUUCUACAAUAUAAAGAUGGAAAUGGGAAGAAGAUGUUCAUUGCAAAUUAAGGAAGCUCUUCCACGAGUUCACGAAUGGAAAUAACAUCAAGAGUUUUUCAUCUUCUUAGUGUGCAAGAUAAAUAUCAAGGAGUGCAAUUCCUGGAUUUAUGAUGUCUGAGGAAUAGUCUUAGUGGAUUAUCCCAAACUUGACACAUUUUUUGCAAAAUGCUAUACAAAAAGAAGAUACAUGCGAUUAUGACAAGAUUCUCCACUUGGUGUGACCAGUCUCAUACAACCCAAGGCUGUGUGUCCAAAGGCAACUGUACUGAUCUUGACAAUAAUCAAAAGGUAGCCAGGUGCAUCGG
Molecule: long non-coding RNA, 466 nt
Filed under: Homo sapiens (human)
Lineage: Eukaryota; Metazoa; Chordata; Mammalia; Primates; Hominidae
Description: ZRANB2 divergent transcript
Source: RNAcentral